CUAUUACAGUCUGUGGUAGAGCACUAGACUGGCAGGGCUUGUGGUCCCUAGAGGCUGUGGGGGGCACAGACUGUUUUUGAUGUGGUAUUAUAGGGGAGGGGGAGGAGAUGCUAAGGCUCUUUACUGAGUCAAGGAAAUGGUUAGGAUGCCCAAGCUACCAAGUGACUUUUUCUGGGUUAGAAACAUCAUCUAAAGACAGUAGGUUGACAACAGCUCAAUGUGAACAUGAAAGCAUUGUUAGAAAUAAUUUUAAUCCUCAUUAAAUAUUUCAGUGUAUUCAUAUAGCGCUUUAAACAACAGUCGUGGUCAGAAAGUAUCUUACAGAGAUCCAUAUGGAGACUCAUGGAGAAUAUUAGAAGAAAAUGUGAUCAAAAUGAGUGGGCAGCAAAAGUGGGGGUGUGGCAUGAUGCCCACAAAGAGUUCCUCUAACCUUGGUGGCUAUCUUGUGCCAUAUAGCUGAGUGGGCAACAAGAGUGUGAGGCCAGAUCCGUCCUUAUCUUGCACUGAGUCAAGUCCUUCACUCAAUAUAACUGAAAAAAUAUGAAAAAGUGUUGUAUUUAAGGUCAAUGAAAGCUAGUGGGAACUAGCUAGCAUGGCUCAUGGCUUACUUUCAGCCAUUACUAAUUUCCUUUACAGACUUUAAUAUUUUUUAAUAGACAACAAGCAAUCUCUUGUUCCUUUUUUUUCUUGACAACACUGUGAAAGAAAACAAUGUUUUAAACUGUAUGUUUUGGUUGAAACCCUGAAAACUCCAAACCAUUUUUUAAAUGAAAAUUUGUUAUGUUUUUCCAUUUUCUAAUGAUUAUUGAUUUUUCACUGUAAACUGACGUGGCUAUCCAGCUAAUCCAGUGUUCAGCUGUAGCUCAGUGCAAUUUGUAGACAGACAGGCCAUGCAAAAAUAUAUUCGCUGUGACUGAGUUUGUAGUUAUCACAACCAUUUAGAAACGUUGUUCGGAAAAAAUACAGAUACACCAGCCAGGCACCACAUCACCCCUAACGAGUGAUACCGUGGCACCAACUAAACUGAUAAGAAAUGUCACCAUUAUUUUUAUUGUCAUCUUUCAUUAGGGUUAAUAUGGAGCCUGCUUGGUGCAUCUGAUGGUGCCGGCAUGGUGCUGCAUCUUUCUCUUUCUGCCCGUACACACACAGAGGGAAGGAAUGCUGCGGGUUGUCUGGGCUGAUUGGUUUCUUCUAAACCUAAUCUACCUCCUGUGUGUGAGGGGAAGCAUUCAGAGGGAGACCGAGAGAGAGAAAGAGGUCAAAAGAGAAAAAGAUUGAAGCUUUUAACAGUUCAUGUUAAUGAUAUUCAAACAGAUGAAUAGCUGUGGAUGAACACAUGCUCAGAAGGCCACAAGGAUCCAAGUAAAAUAAGCAGAACGAGUCAGCGGGCUGAAAAACGCAGAACAGACGAGGGACAGAGACGGAACUUUGACAUAAUGGCGAAUAUAGGACUGGACUGGACGGUUUGUGGAAAGGGCAUGUGGCUCAGUAGCAUGACAUUAUUAACUGAAGAUAUUUUUUCAGGCUUGCGUAAGUCACCUUAAAUUACAAAAGGCUCUCUCAGAUCGUUCCCUUAAAGGUCUUUCAGCUCUGGGUUGAAACAUUUCAAGAAGCAUGUGACUGGAAUUCACCUGAAUAGAAAUCUGUGUGUAAAUGUGGGUGUAUAUAAAAAUAUACGCCUAUAAAAUGUAUGCCAUCGAGUUGAUGAGAAUGAUAUGAAAUAUUCAUAUAAGCCCUGACUCACAAGUUUCAUUAUGUCACUGCUUUCAAAAAGACAAUAAGAUAUUGUCUUUAGAACUCAGCAGCCAUGCAAGGAUUCAGAUAUUUGCUUUAGGGAAAUAUAUUUUUUAACAGACAUCAGUAGUUUAUUCAGUAGUUAUUGGUUUCAUCCAUUUGCAUCAUAUAUCAGGUGAUAUAUUGGACCUGGAAAUAUAUUUGUGAUGUCAAUAUCUUUACCAUACCAUACCAUUAAUGAUACAGUUAUUUCAUGUUUAAUCAUCAUUAUACAGUACAUCAUAAUACUAAUGUAUAAUCACACUGCUAGUAUGCAGUAUGUAUAUCAAAUUAAAUUGUCUCCUAAUUUGUAACGAAAUAAUGUUUCCCUUUGUUUAUUCUUAUCCUUUAAUUUAAGUCUUCCACAGUCUAGGAGGUCAAAGCCUUCCUUCAAGACAAAUGAAACCUCUGCAUAUUUUCAAACUGUUGCUUAUGUAAUGUCACAGGAUUGCUGGAUGAAUGAGAAUGAGACAGCUCUGUAUACAUGAGCUAACAGAUACCUCUGAUUGCCUAAUUUCACUCUCAUCAAUAGUGGAAAGAGGCUGUCCUUUCCACAUAGUAAGCAGGCCAGUUAUGCUUUCUUAGGUCUUUUUCUUCAAAUAACCUGUCAUUUGAUAUUCUUGUUUCCAAUAAAUAUGCACAAUACAUUGUGUGAUAUACAUGAUAAACACGAUCUACACAUUGAUUCCGAAAU
Molecule: long non-coding RNA, 2467 nt
Organism: Ictalurus punctatus (channel catfish)
Lineage: Eukaryota; Metazoa; Chordata; Actinopteri; Siluriformes; Ictaluridae
Source: Ensembl